AGAGUUUGAUCCUGGCUCAGAACGUACGCUGGCGGCACGCCUAACACAUGCAAGUCGAACGAAGUAGCAAUACUUAGUGGCGAACGGGUGAGUAUAAUGUAGGUAUCUGCCUUUUGGUUUGGAAUAACACGAAGAAAUUUGUGCUAAUACCGGAUAAGCCCUUACGGGGAAAGUUUUAACGCCGAAAGAUGAGCCUGCACUUGAUUAGCUAGUUGGUAAGGUAAUGGCUUACCAAGGCUACGAUCAAUAGCUGAUCUGAGAGGAUGAUCAGCCACAUUGGGACUGAGACACGGCCCAAACUCCUACGGGAGGCAGCAGUGGGGAAUUUUGCACAAUGGGGGAAACCCUGAUGCAGCGAUGCCGCGUGAGUGAAGAAGGCCUUUGGGUUGUAAAGCUCUUUCGUCGGGGAAGAAAAUGACUGUACCCGAAUAAGAAGGUCCGGCUAACUUCGUGCCAGCAGCCGCAGUAAUACGAAGGGACCUAGCGUAGUUCGGAAUUACUGGGCUUAAAGAGCUCGUAGGUGGUUAGAAAAGUUGGUGGUGAAAUCCCAAGGCUUAACCUUGGAACUGCCAUCAAAACUUUUUGACUAGAGUAUGAUAGAGGAAAGUGGAAUUUCUAGUGUAGAGGUGAAAUUCGUAGAUAUUAGAAAGAACACCAAUUGCGAAGGCAACUUUCUGGAUCAUUACUGACACUGAGGAGCGAAAGCAUGGGUAGCGAAGAGGAUUAGAUACCCUCG
RNAcentral lists this ribosomal RNA (736 nucleotides) under uncultured Alphaproteobacteria bacterium. Its description in RNAcentral is "bacterial SSU rRNA". It matches the Rfam family "Bacterial small subunit ribosomal RNA", at positions 8 to 790 of the family's 1533-position model. The record is from RNAcentral. Lineage: Bacteria; Pseudomonadati; Pseudomonadota; Alphaproteobacteria.